Non-coding RNA from Streptomyces regalis, 144 nucleotides. NCBI's taxonomy places the organism in Bacteria, Bacillati, Actinomycetota, Actinomycetes, Kitasatosporales, Streptomycetaceae. The record is from Rfam.
AACAUGUAUGCUCAUGCUCGCUGUCGCCGCAGGGGAAUCCGGUGCGAAUCCGGAACUGUCCCGCAACGGUGUACUCGUACACGUAUGCCCGCAUACCGUCGUACGAGAGUCAGUCCGAGGACCUGCCGACAGCGCGCCCGGCCA